RNAcentral lists this ribosomal RNA (450 nucleotides) under uncultured bacterium. RNAcentral describes it as "partial 16S ribosomal RNA". It matches the Rfam family "Bacterial small subunit ribosomal RNA", at positions 354 to 796 of the family's 1533-position model. The record is from RNAcentral.
GUGGGGAAUUUUGGACAAUGGGCGAAAGCCUGAUCCAGCCAUGCCGCGUGCAGGAUGAAGGCCUUCGGGUUGUAAACUGCUUUUGUACGGAACGAAAAGACUCCUUCUAAUAAAGGGGGUCCAUGACGGUACCGUAAGAAUAAGCACCGGCUAACUACGUGCCAGCAGCCGCGGUAAUACGUAGGGUGCAAGCGUUAAUCGGAAGUACUGGGCGUAAAGCGUGCGCAGGCGGUUAUAUAAGACAGAUGUGAAAUUCCCGGGCUCAACCUGGGAACUGCAUUUGUGACUGUAUAGCUAGAGUACGGUAGAGGGGGAUGGAAUUCCGCGUGUAGCAGUGAAAUGCGUAGAUAUGCGGAGGAACACCGAUGGCGAAGGCAAUCCCCUGGACCUGUACUGACGCUCAUGCACGAAAGCGUGGGGAGCAAACAGGAUUAGAAACCCGUGUAGUCC